This 503-nucleotide ribosomal RNA is filed under the name uncultured Geodermatophilus sp. RNAcentral describes it as "bacterial SSU rRNA". It matches the Rfam family "Bacterial small subunit ribosomal RNA", at positions 8 to 526 of the family's 1533-position model. The record is from RNAcentral. Lineage: Bacteria; Bacillati; Actinomycetota; Actinomycetes; Geodermatophilales; Geodermatophilaceae.
AGAGUUUGAUCCUGGCUCAGGACGAACGCUGGCGGCGUGCUUAACACAUGCAAGUCGAACGAUGAAGCCAGCUUGCUGGUGGAUUAGUGGCGAACGGGUGAGUAACACGUGGGCAACCUGCCCUCAGCUCUGGGAUAACUCCAAGAAAUUGGUGCUAAUACCGGAUAUUCAUUCAGCCUCGCAUGGGGUUGUGUGGAAAGUUUUUCGGCUGGGGAUGGGCCCGCGGCCUAUCAGCUUGUUGGUGGGGUGAUGGCCUACCAAGGCGACGACGGGUAGCCGGCCUGAGAGGGUGACCGGCCACACUGGGACUGAGACACGGCCCAGACUCCUACGGGAGGCAGCAGUGGGGAAUAUUGCGCAAUGGGCGGAAGCCUGACGCAGCGACGCCGCGUGAGGGAUGACGGCCUUCGGGUUGUAAACCUCUUUCAGCAGGGACGAAGCGAAAGUGACGGUACCUGCAGAAGAAGCACCGGCCGACUACGUGCCAGCAGCCGCGGUAAUAC